UACGUAGGGGGCGAGCGUUGUCCGGAAUCAUUGGGCGUAAAGCGCGUGUAGGCGGCUCGUUAAGUCCGGUGUGAAAGUCACAGGCUCAACCUGUGAAUGCCGCUGGAAACUGUCUGGCUAGAGUCCGGAAGAGGCGAGUGGAAUUCCUGGUGUAGCGGUGAAAUGCGCAGAUAUCAGGAAGAACACCCGUGGCGAAGGCGGCUCUCUGGGACGGUACUGACGCUGAGACGCGAAAGCGUGGGGAGCGAACAGG
RNAcentral lists this ribosomal RNA (253 nucleotides) under uncultured bacterium. RNAcentral's name for it is "partial 16S ribosomal RNA". It matches the Rfam family "Bacterial small subunit ribosomal RNA", at positions 524 to 776 of the family's 1533-position model. The record is from RNAcentral.